UUUUUUUCUUUUUUUUUUUUCUUUUUUUUUUCUCCUCGCCAUGUGC
This 46-nucleotide non-coding RNA is filed under the name Aureococcus anophagefferens. The record is from RNAcentral. Lineage: Eukaryota; Pelagophyceae; Pelagomonadales; Pelagomonadaceae.